CCUACGGGAGGCUGCAGUGAGGAAUAUUGGUCAAUGGGCGGGAGCCUGAACCAGCCAAGCCGCGUGAGGGAAGAAGGUACAGCGUAUCGUAAACCUCUUUUGUCAGGGAACAAAGGCGGGGACUAGUCCCCGGAUGAGGGUACCUGAAGAAAAAGCAUCGGCUAACUCCGUGCCAGCAGCCGCGGUAAUACGGAGGAUGCGAGCGUUAUCCGGAUUUAUUGGGUUUAAAGGGUGCGCAGGCGGUCUGUUAAGUAAGCGGUCAAAGCCCGGGGCUCAACCCCGGCCCGCCGUUGAAACUGGCAGUCUCGAGUUGGAGAGAAGUAUGCGGAAUGCGCGGUGUAGCGGUGAAAUGCAUAGAUAUCGCGCAGAACUCCGAUUGCGAAGGCAGCAUGCCGGCUCCACACUGACGCUGAGGCACGAAAGCGUGGGUAUCGAACAGGAUUAGAUACCCCAGUAGUC
RNAcentral lists this ribosomal RNA (459 nucleotides) under uncultured bacterium. Its description in RNAcentral is "partial 16S ribosomal RNA". It matches the Rfam family "Bacterial small subunit ribosomal RNA", at positions 338 to 795 of the family's 1533-position model. The record is from RNAcentral.